This 114-nucleotide transfer RNA is filed under the name Candidatus Helarchaeota archaeon. RNAcentral describes it as "tRNA-Leu". It matches the Rfam family "tRNA". From Rfam's summary of the family: Transfer RNA (tRNA) molecules are approximately 80 nucleotides in length. Their secondary structure includes four short double-helical elements and three loops (D, anti-codon, and T loops). The record is from RNAcentral. Lineage: Archaea; Promethearchaeati; Candidatus Helarchaeota.
GCAGGGGUAGCCAAGCCUGGAAACGGCGCUGGACUCAAGAUCCAGUCUCGAAGGAGACCUGAAGGCGAUCGUCCUUUAAGCCUAAAUCCGUGGGUUCAAAUCCCACCCCCUGCA